Molecule: long non-coding RNA, 265 nt
Filed under: Elaeis guineensis (African oil palm)
Lineage: Eukaryota; Viridiplantae; Streptophyta; Magnoliopsida; Arecales; Arecaceae
Description: long non-coding RNA (EGUI_LNC021914)
Source: RNAcentral
UCUACGACUACCGAUAUACUAUUGUUAUUGACAUAUAGUCAGCUUAUCUAAAACUGCCAGUGCAGAAAAUGUAUAAUGGCUAGAACAUGAUCAGUGACACAUGUCUAACCGUUAUAAACGGUUAUCAACUCUAUGUCAUGAUCAUUAGUGGACAUAAACAGCCCAUUAACUCCAUGAUUAUGGUCCAAUAAUUAUUCUUUAGUGCCAUAAAAAAUAGGAUCACGUGCUCGACGGUUACAUCUGAAUCAUCUAUAAAAGGGAGAUA